This is a long non-coding RNA of Helianthus annuus (common sunflower), 265 nucleotides long. RefSeq lists it as uncharacterized. The record is from RefSeq and is a predicted model, not a curated record. The transcript has 3 exons. Lineage: Eukaryota; Viridiplantae; Streptophyta; Magnoliopsida; Asterales; Asteraceae.
ACGAUGAUGAUGUUUAUGGGCUGAAUGUUUGAAGCUUAUUUGAGUGUUGUAAUCAUCGGAAGAAUCAGGCCCCACUACCUCGGUGUCAUAUCAGCCGUAUCUCCUUUCUUUGCCGCCUUUUGGCUACACGAAUGUUGCAAAUCUUUAUUUUGAGAUAGCCUAUAGCAGCUAAUAAAUGCAAUGCUUUCCAUAGCCAGUGCAAGGCUUAUCUUAGUGGAAUAAUUGUAUACCUUUCUAAUCAUGAUUUCAAGCAAGCCAUGUUGCA